GUCCAGGUAUCCAAGAAGCACUGGGUGCGGCCAGUUGAGUGAGAUGGAAGGCCAGUCCAACUAAAACAAUUCUGGCUCAAAAGAAAAAGACAUGUUACCAACCAACUUUGGGACUUGAAAUGGAACUGGAAAAAUAUCCUCAGAACAGAGAUAAUCAUUACUUUAGAGGUUCUUGCUGCAGUCAAGACUGUCAGAAGAUGUAAAGAAAGUGUG
Long non-coding RNA from Hyaena hyaena (striped hyena), 213 nucleotides. RefSeq lists it as uncharacterized. The transcript is spliced from 3 exons. NCBI's taxonomy places the organism in Eukaryota, Metazoa, Chordata, Mammalia, Carnivora, Hyaenidae. The record is from RefSeq and is a predicted model, not a curated record.